AGAAAAUUGAAUGCUUAGUUAAUUUUAUCCACCAUUAUCUUGAUAGUGAAUGAAGUUGAUGAAAGGGAAUCCAGCAUAAAUCCUAAUCACCUACUCAUUUAGAACCAUCAUGGUACAACUGACAUGUCAUACCAUGAAAACACCAAUGUCUUAGCUAGCCAAGACGCUCAAGACGCAUAGGCCUUACCUCUUGUAGCCGGAUACCAAACACAAUUCUUACAUGAUUCUUUGGCAAAU
Molecule: unclassified non-coding RNA, 237 nt
Filed under: Hevea brasiliensis (rubber tree)
Lineage: Eukaryota; Viridiplantae; Streptophyta; Magnoliopsida; Malpighiales; Euphorbiaceae
Source: RNAcentral